GACGAACGCUGGCGGCGUGCUUAACACAUGCAAGUCGAGCGGUAAGGCCCUUUCGGGGGUACACGAGCGGCGAACGGGUGAGUAACACGUGGGUGACCUGCCCUUAGCUCUGGGAUAAGCCUGGGAAACUGGGUCUAAUACCGGAUAUGACUCCAUGACGCAUGUUGUGGGGUGGAAAGCCUUGUGCGGCUAGGGAUGGGCCCGCGGCCUAUCAGCUUGUUGGUGGGGUGAUGGCCACCAAGGCGACGACGGGUAGCCGGCCCGACGAGGGCGACCGGCCACACUGGGACUGAGACACGGCCCAGACUCCUACGGGAGGCAGCAGUGGGGAAUCUUGCGCAAUGGGCGAAAGCCUGACGCAGCGACGCCGCGUGGGGAUGACGGCCUCGG
RNAcentral lists this ribosomal RNA (390 nucleotides) under uncultured bacterium. Its description in RNAcentral is "bacterial SSU rRNA". It matches the Rfam family "Bacterial small subunit ribosomal RNA", at positions 28 to 420 of the family's 1533-position model. The record is from RNAcentral.